GGAGGAAGGCACGGCUAACUCUGUGCCAGCAGCCGCGGUAAUACAGAGGUGCCAAGCGUUGUUCGGAUUUAUUGGGCGUAAAGGGUGCGUAACACGUGGGUAAUUUAUCUUUAUGUGGGGGAUAGCUCCGCGAAAGCGGAAUUAAUACCGCAUGCGGUUAAGGAUCUCAUGAUCUGAAAACCAAAGCUGGGGAUCGCAAGACCUGGCGCAAAAAGAGAAGCCCGCGGCCUAUCAGCUUGUUGGUGAGGUAUCGGCUCACCAAGGCUUACGGGUAGCUGGUCUGAGAGGACGACCAGCCACACUGGGACUGAGACACGGCCCAGGCACCUACGGGUGGCAGCAGUCGAGAAUUUUUCUCAAUGGGGGAAACCCUGAAGGAGCGACGCCGCGUGGGGGAUGAAGGACUUCGGUUCGUAAACCCCUGUCACUUGGGAACAAAAGUUGCAACCCGACACGUUGCAACCUGAUAGUACCAGGGGAGGAAGGCACGGCUAACUCUGUGCCAGCAGCCGCGGUAAUACAGAGGUGCCAAGCGUUGUUCGGAUUUAUUGGGCGUAAAGGGUGCGUAGGUGGUCAUACAAGUCGGGUGUGAAAUCCCGGAGCCUAACUCCGGAACGGCACUCGAAACUGUUUGACUGGAGGUCUGGAGAGGUGACUGGAAUUCUCGGUGUAGCAGUGAAAUGCGUAGAUAUCGAGAGGAACACCAGAGGCGAAGGCGAGUCACUGGACAGAACCUGACACUGAGGCACGAAAGCUAGGGGAGCAAACGGGAUUAGAUACCCCGGUAGUCCUAGCCGUAAACGGUGCGUAUUUGAGGUGGGAGGAUUCGACCCCUUCCGUCUCGCAGCUAACGCGUUAAAUACGCCGCCUGGGAAGUACGGUCGCAAGAUUAAAACUCAAAGAAAUUGACGGGGGCCCGCACAAGCGGUGGAGCAUGUGGCUUAAUUCGAUGCAACGCGAAGAACCUUAUCCUAGCCUUGACAUACACGUAGUAGAAGGGUGAAAGCCUGACGAGGUAGCAAUACCAGCGUGAACAGGUGCUGCAUGGCUGUCGUCAGCUCGUGCCGUGAGGUGUUCGGUUAAGUCCGGUAACGAGCGCAACCCCUGUGAUCUGUUGCUAAUCCGAGUAAUCGGAUGCACUCUGAUCAGACUGCCCUGCAUAACGGGGAGGAAGGUGGGGAUGACGUCAAGUCCGUAUGGCCUUUAUGGCUAGGGCUGCACACGUGCUACAAUGCCCAGUACAAAGGGUCGCCAACCCGCGAGGGGGAGCCAAUCCCAGAAAACUGGGCCCA
RNAcentral lists this ribosomal RNA (1292 nucleotides) under metagenome. RNAcentral's name for it is "bacterial SSU rRNA". It matches the Rfam family "Bacterial small subunit ribosomal RNA", at positions 1 to 1290 of the family's 1533-position model. The record is from RNAcentral.